GGGUGGUCCGAAGGUAGUGAGUUAUCUCACCUAAUUGUUCACAGUCAGUUACAGAUUGAACUCCUUGUUCUACUAUUUUCCUCCCUCCUCACUACUGCACUUGACCAGUCUUAA
Molecule: Y RNA, 114 nt
Filed under: Propithecus coquereli (Coquerel's sifaka)
Lineage: Eukaryota; Metazoa; Chordata; Mammalia; Primates; Indriidae
Description: Y RNA (ENSPCOG00000001906.1)
Rfam family: Y RNA
About the family: Y RNAs are components of the Ro ribonucleoprotein particle (Ro RNP), in association with Ro60 and La proteins. The Y RNAs and Ro60 and La proteins are well conserved, but the function of the Ro RNP is not known. In humans the RNA component can be one of four small RNAs -- hY1, hY3, hY4 and hY5.
Source: Rfam by way of RNAcentral